Molecule: unclassified non-coding RNA, 351 nt
Filed under: Hevea brasiliensis (rubber tree)
Lineage: Eukaryota; Viridiplantae; Streptophyta; Magnoliopsida; Malpighiales; Euphorbiaceae
Source: RNAcentral
AAAUGAGAAACCAUCAAUUAUUAUCUUCCUUUAUAUGGCUAUGACUCCAUCCAGGUCCCCCCAUUUCUCAGCAUCCGGGAGAGGCAGAGAGAUGGGUGUCAAGUACUGCUUGUUGAGAUUGCUGCCGUUUGCAGCCCUGGUAAUGCUGGAAUGCGUUGAUACGGGCUUGACCACAAUAAGCAAAGCAGCCAUGUCCAAGGGAAUGAGCCACUUUGUUUUUGUUGUCUACUCAAAUGCUCUUGCCACUGUCAUGAUGUUCCUUUUUUCUUUCUUCUUCAACAGGACAAAGAGACCACCACUUACCUACUCCCUCCUCUGCAAAUUCUUCCUCCUCAGCCUUGUUGGAAUUAC